ACCACCAUUCAGGCAAAUUCUACCAUCAUGAAUCCACUCCUGAUCCUUACCUUUGGGAGCCUCUGUGGCUGCCCCAUUUCAUGAUGAUGACAAGAUCACUGGGGGCUACACCUGUGAGGAGAAUUCUCUCCCCUACCAGCCGCAUCCAGGUGAGACUGGGAGAUCACAACAUCAAAGUCCUGGAGGGGACUGGAACAGUUCAUCAAUGCAGCCAAGACCAUCCGCCACCCCA
Long non-coding RNA from Rhinopithecus roxellana (golden snub-nosed monkey), 232 nucleotides. RefSeq lists it as uncharacterized. NCBI's taxonomy places the organism in Eukaryota, Metazoa, Chordata, Mammalia, Primates, Cercopithecidae. The transcript is spliced from 3 exons. The record is from RefSeq and is a predicted model, not a curated record.